AACUGUGUAUGUGUAUUUGUAUGUGUGUCUCUCAUUAAAGGAAUGGCUUGGCUAAGUUCAAGUUUCAUGACCAAAAGGUUGGCCACCGGUUGAUAAAUAUUUUUAGACUUAGAAAUUCAUGGAGAAGCUCCACUAAAGCAUUAAGGGGUUACCAUCACCAUGGUGGAAGGAAUUUCCAAUAGAGAUGAAUCAGAGUUCUUUUGGGUCAAUUGAAGAUAUUUAAUAACCUCCAGAGUUGAAAGAAUUAAGGGCUCAAGUUUAUAAAACUUAACACAUUGCUAAUUUUCCCCAUCCUUGAAUGUCAGCACCACAGUUUGAUUCCUCUAAUAUUAAUAUUAGAAGCUAAAUCUAUUAUUAAAUUUUACUUCUUCAGGAGUAAGAACUGGAAUGCCAAACAAGUCAUACUCUUAUUCAUCCAUGUUUUGGUUCCCAAUCUAGAGCAAGUCUUCUCCCUCCAAAAAAUAUGUGGGAAGCUCCCAUUUUGUAUUCAAAUAAAGAUGUUUGCUCUUGUUUAAAGUAAAAAGGUUAAUGGAUUUGGUAAUAAGGUAGUAUACUUCUAUCAUUCAACCAAAACUGCUCACUUCCAAAUUACUAAUGAUCUCUAGAUUACCAUGUCUAAUGGCCUCUUUGGAAUCUUCAUCCUUCUUGAUUUCUCUGUAAUAUUUGUCACUGUUGACCAUCCUCUCCUCCUGGAUAUUUUCUCUUUCUGUUUUUGUGAUGCUACUGUCUCUUAGUUCUUCUCAUCUCUGUCUAAUCCCUCCUUCUUAGUCUCCUUUGCUAGUUCAUCUACCAAGUUUUGUUCAUUUGCCGUAGGUGUGCCCUCUUUUCUUCCUCUACUAUCUCACUUGGUAAUUUUAUCAACAACCAUUGAGUCAAUGAUCAUCUUUAUGCCAAUGACUCCUAGACAGACAGACAGACAGAUAGAUAGACAGACAGAUUGAGUUGAAAUAAGAUAAGAAAAAAUGACAUAUCGGUAUCUAUCAAUCUCUCUUUCUUGGGCUCCAGUACCACAUCUCAAUGGUCUGUUGAACAUUUAGAAAAGGAUCUCUUGUAGACUCAACAUACUCAAAACAAAAUUUUUUAUUUUUACCCCCAAAACUUACUACUUUGCAGAACUCUUACAACUGUCAAAGUUACCAAUGUCCUUCUAGUCACUGAGAUUCACAAUGUUGAUAUUAUUUUUGCUCCUCACAUAUCCAACUAGUUGUCUAGUCUUGUUUCUAUCUCUUCAAUAUGUCUCAUAUAUGUAUUCUUCUCUACUCUUCAAUGACCUCUAUCUUAAUUCAAGGCAUUUAAUGCCUCUUGCAUGGGAUACAGCAAUCCUAUUAGGUCUUAUCACCUCUAGUCUUUCCCCAUUCCAAUCCAUCUUCCAAAUAGUUGAUCAAAGUGAUUUUAUUUUACUAAAGUGUUUUCUGACCAUGUCAUGCCCCUAUUCAGUAAUCCCAAGUGCCUUCCUGGGAUCAAAUAUAAAAUAUUCUGCCUUGCAUUUAAUAUUCUUUAUAACCUGAUUCUUUCCUACCUUUCCAGCCUUCUCACACAUUUCUCUCCUUCAUACACCCUACGUCUUGUCAUACUGUUCUACAUGCUAUUUUAUCUCCCAUUCCUGCAUCUUUGCAUUGGCUGCCUCUCGUGGCUGGAAUCCUCUCCUUUCUCACCUCCACCUCAUACAAUCCUUGAUUUCCUUCAGCACCCAGUUCAAGUACCACCUUCUACACAAAGCCUUUAUUGAUUCUGCCCCGCCCCCCCACUUCAGGUGACAGAGGUCUCUUCCAAAUUACCUUGUUUUUAUUUUUCAUAUGUGUAUUCUGUAUAUGCUUAUAUAUUUUCACGUUGCCUGCUUUAUUAGAAGAUAAGCUACUUGAGGAUGAAUGAUUUCACUUUUGUCAACAUUCCUACUUAGCCCCUUUUUCUGCACUUAAUAAAAUACUUGUUGAUGGAUUAUACUGACCAUUAUGUAGUGUCUUUAUGUUUGCAAAGUGCUUUACCUAAAUUAUCUUCCUUGACUCUGACAAGUCUGUGUAAGCAGAGAUUAUUGAUUUUGUUCUUUACAUUUUACAGAUGAAGUUUAAAAAGAAUUUGGGACUUUCUUGGAGUCCUGCAGCUGGUGAGCACCAGCACCUUAGACCUCAGAUCUUCCUGAUUCCAAAUCACCCUAUCUACACUGCCUCUCUAAAGAGCAUGACCUGGACUCAGGUUCAGGAAGAUCUGUGUUCAAAUCUGAAUUUAAACUCUGAAAGACUGUAAAACCCUAGAUGUCAUUUAACCACUCUCAGCCUCAAUUUCCUUAUCUGUAAAAUUAGAAUAUUAAAAUUUAGAGUAUUUUACUUCCACAGGUUUUAGGGCUGAAAGGAGAUGAUGCAAGAGGAUAUGAGGUGCCUUGCAAACCUUGAAGCUCUAUUUAAAUGUCAGUCAUUAUCCUCUUAAAUGAAAAUGUUCAUCAUUCUUUGGACCAACUGCUCUAGCUGAGAUGUUGAAGGGAGUAUGAAAAUAUCCAAGGUGCUCAUAAGAUAUUCUUCUUCUUGUCUUCAUGUUUUAAUUAAGAUAAGAUUAACAUAUGUGAAAGGGUCACAUCCCUGAUGGCCAUCUCGUCUUCCUCCUCCUCCUAAACCCUUAUCUUUUGCUUUUGAAUCAAUACGUCCUUGCUAUGUGCCCCUGGGCAAGUCACUUACCCUCCAUUGCCUAGACCUUACUGCUCUUCUAUCUUAGAAAUGAUAUUGAGACAGAAGGUAAGGGUUUAAAAAAAAUCAAACAUUUAUCCCCCAUGUCUGAAAAACUGAUGGAUGUUAUGGAUCCUGAUUGAUUUCUGGGUUGCUAUGAUGUCCUGGAAAAGGAAGGGAAGAAUAGCAGAAUGUCUUCUAAUAUAUAAUUGUUUAGUUCAGACAAAAUAUCUUAGUAGGUGCUAUUUCUUCCUAAAUUGAAGGUUGCUAAUCUUCAUUGUAUCAUGGAUUCCUCUGGUGGACUAUGAACCGCCUCUCAGAAUAUUGUUUUUAAUGACAAAAUAAUUACAAAAGAAAUCAAUUAUGUUGAAAUAAGUUACCAAAAAAAAUUUAAUUCACAGAUCACCUCCCACCCCAGUAUAGGAGCCCUAGUUAAGGGAUUCUCUGUCUAAAUAUCUCUAGUUUUUAGAACUGUAGCUAUCUUUUUCUCCCUAGAACAUUUUUUCUAUCUGUGACAAGAAUAAUUGUUGAGAUGGGGAACAAUUAAAAAAAAGUCAGAGGAGCAAGGCAGACAGGGAAACCUGCCUGAUUCAGGGAAGAGGGAGGGAAGAAAGCUGCAUAUACAGAGGGCAGUUUGUCUACAUUGAUAGAGGGGCUAACCAAUUCCUUCCUUCUUCCCCAUCCUCUUCUGGCCUAUGUUCUUGCUCCCUCACCUGGAACAGUAGAAGGCUCUUCCCAUAUCCUCUUCCCCUAUGAUCCCUGCCGAGGUGUUGGCUGGUGACCAUUGCAGAGAAGAAGCAUGCUUCCCCACCCCCAAAGAGAAAGUACUUCCCCCAGAUGUAAGCAACCUGGGAAAAAGCCAUAGCUACCCUGCCCUAGUUAUGGCUGCACUCAGUUGUCCCCAAACUCCAGCUCUUCUUCCAUUUAUAUUCAUUUUUACCAACAGACUAUUCACUUUUAGUUCUGUAAAGAGCAAAGGGAAAAAAGUAGAUUCACAAUUGAUUGCUUACUAGAAUCCAAAUUCCCUUUAUUUGCACCUUUCUUCUUGGUAGGUCUUUUAGAAUGGGAAGUUUAGCUUAGACUGAAAGCUCCAUCAUUAGACAACCCAGAGUGGAGAAAAGAGCCAAGUCCCUUGAAAGAAUCAAAUUGACAUUCUUAUAUUUGGAAAAUCCUUCCUCCUCUUUGGGUUGGUCCUGAGGAGCCAGUUAAUAGUUUGUUUUGCUUUCUUUCUUCCGAGCAGCAUGUUUCCCGAUGAAUUUUCCACUGGUAUAGCCUACCUGUUUGUCUCCAAGAAUAAGCACUGGGUUCUUAUCACCAGGGGACCUGGAAGGCCUCCCCCCACUUCCCUUGGGGGCCACUCCAUUUCCAUUACAGUAUCACUUUCAGAAUGAUUCGAUUUUUUGUGCAUUUUGAGAUUCGUAAUUGGCUAAAAGGUCCUCUGUCCAGGAUCUAAAUAUAGAAUGAUCUUUUGUGGGACUUUGCUGUCCAGACCUCAUGUUCCUUAUAACUGGUAGAGAGUGAGAUCAGCCUUUAUCAUAAGAAUAUAGUUUUAUUUGGGGCUGGAAGGUUGUCUGAUCUAACAACUUUGUUGUAUAGGUAAGCCCAGAGAAAUUCAAAUGCUUUGCCUAAGGUAAAAAAGGUAGUAAAGAGCACAGCUUAUUAACCAGGCCCUCCUCCAAGUCCGGCACAUUUUCCAUUACUGUACUAUUAUGACUGGCCUGAUCAUGGGACUCCAUUUUCUCUGACCUGGGCUUGUACAUUGCCAGAAAAAAAGAUUUGAAUGUAUUUAUGCUCAUUCAUUCAUUGAGUAAAAAACCUAUCAAGUGUCUUCUACUCAGAGAACACUGGGCUAAGUCUAGAAGGCUUGUUAAACUAAGGCAAAAUAUUUCCCUGCCCUCUUGAAGCUUGGUCUAGUGGAGUAACUAUUGUUCUUUCUGUCUCUCUCUCUCUUUCUUUUUCUUCUCUCUCUUUCUCUUCCUUCUGUUUUCUUUCUUUUUGUUUGUUUGUUUGUUUCUUUCUUUCUCUUUCUUUCCCUUUCUUCCAUCCCUUAUUUUCCAUCUUAGAGUCAACACUGUGUGUUGGUUCUAAGGCAGAAGAGUGGAAAGGGGUAGGCAAUGAGGGUUAAGUGACUUGUCUAGGGUCACACAGCUAGGAAGUGUCUGAGGCCAAAUUUGAACCUCAGACCUUCCAUCUCUAGGCUUGGCUCUCAAUCCACUGAGCUACCCAGCUACCCCCUCAUCUUUUAUUUUAAAGAGGACCAGUAACAUCACGGGAUGAUAUCUUGACCUGCCAAUGAACUGGACUCAAGUGAGGAAGAGUUGCACAAAAUCACCAACUUCACUUAGUCCUCCAGAUCCAGGGGUGAGACAAAAGUCAGGACGACUGACGAUGGUCCUCAAUGCAGUAAUGACCUGGGUGUCUUCAAUGUCUGACCAGCACCCUAAGCACUCUACAGCACCUGCUUCAGUCAUCUUCAUGGCCACUGGAACAAAUCAUUCUCAUCUCAUCCAUUCUGUGGGGGAAAGUCUUCACGUGCUUGUGAGAGAUACUCCCCUAACUCACUGACAGGUUUGAGGUCUACUGGUGGCCCUCAACCUGGCUGGAGUACAUGGCGUGUCUCUGGUGUGAGGAUUUGCCAAACCCUUUCCAGGGUUGCUCAUCCACCUUUGGUGUCCAUCUGUCAUUUAUUUCUCACCUGUGGCUUCAAGAAGCUGUAGCUCAUGCAAUGGCCACAUCCCCAUGAAACCAUUUUGGAAGGUGAGUUAAGUCGAGGGAUUAGAUAGGCAUUGGUAUCUGUAGUACACAAUAUUGUGUGAUAAGAACAUUAGAGUGCUAUAAAUUAAAGUAUUAUGUGAAGUCAGAGGUAAAAAGUUUUAACUGAAUAAAUAAGCUUAUGGAAGACUUUUUGAGAAGGUGGCAUCUGGUGGGGGGUUAAAGAACAAGUAGGAACUCAAUGGAUAAAGAGGGGGUGGAGAAGCUAUUCUAGGCAUAAGAAACAGGUUACCAGGUCCACCAGGAAACUGACUCACAGCAAUCUGCAGACUCCCAACCUGCCCUCAGGCCUUCCAACUAAUAGUAGUUCCGCCUAGCAGUAGGUCUUUUAGCCAAAUAAUUUUCAUAUAGGUGAGAUAAUUUUCAUACAAGUAUAACUUAUUCAGCUUGAGACAUUUAUUAAGCUCAAAAGGUUCUUAACUUUUUGUAUGACAUCGAUCCCUUUGGCAAUUUGAUGAAGCCUAUGGACCCCUUCUCAGAAUCAUGUUCUUAAAUGCCCAAUACAAAAUGCAUAGAAUUACAAAGAAAGUUCUGUUAAAUUACAGGAUUACAGUGAAAUAGUUAUCAAAGUCUUUUUUCAAAAGUUCAGAGAACCAUGGUUAGGUGGCUUACUAGGUACUGUCCAUGCAAUGGCAAAACCAAAAUCAUCUCUGCCAUAUAAUAUUGGAGGGAGAAAAUAUGGGCACAGAUCAGUAAAUGUGAGCUACUGACAAAAGGAAUGCCAAGAUAUGUUGGGGUCAAGGGGAUGAAUAAUUUUGAAAUAUGGAUGGGAGGUAUUUUGUUGGAAAUGAGUGUAUAAGGCAGGAUUUUGGGUUUUUUCUUUCUCUUUACUUUUUUUUUUUGCUUCUUAAAUUUUUUCUUUACUUUUCCACACCCAACAAAUAAUAUCACAGUGGAAUCUUAUAUUCUUUUUUUUUUUAAACCCUUACCUUCCGUCUUGGAGUCAAUACUGUGUAUUGGCUCCAAGGCAGAAGAGUGGUAAGGGCUAGGCAAUGGGGGUCAAGUGACUUGCCCAGGGUCACACAACUGGGAAGUGUCUGAGGCCAGAUUUGAACCUAGGACCUCCCAUCUCUAGGCCUGGCUCUCAAUCCACUGAGCUACCCAGCUGCCCCUGGAAUCUUAUAUUCUUUACCACUUUCAGUUUGUAAAUAUUCUAGGACUGAGAUGUCUCAAUUGCAUGACAUAUCUUUUUUAAUUGCUGUUCUUUUUUCUUGCCUUGUUACUAGUUUUGCACAAUUUUGAGAUAACUUCCACGUCUUUAGCAAAGUCUUUUCCAUCUGAAGGAUAGUAAUGUUCAUGUAAGAUGGGUGUGUUCCCCUGGAUUGUCUAAAGGUAUAGAUUCGGCUUGCAGAUGGCACAGACAAAUAUCUCUGGAAUCUGGCCCACCCCUCUCAAAAGAGACUAUAAUUUCUGCCUUGAGGGGAGAAAGAGAAGAAUCAUGGCUUGGCACUUACUGCUUCCCUCAUCCAUCUCUAAGAAUGGUAACAGUCUAGAAUUAUUCAUCUAUUUUCUUAAAUAUUGUUAGUAGAGGGAUUUGAAUCUGGUUCAGAAGGAAAGCUGCUUCCCUGGUUGCUUCUAAAGGGGAGAGAAGCCCUUGUUUUUUUCUGGCCAACCUAACUCCUUCCUUUCCAAUGAAUCCUGGUUACAAAAAACUACCAUAGUAAAUAGGAAAAAAGAGAACAAACUCAUUCAUGCAAAUGAAAUGGUGAAAGGAAACUAAUCCACAGAUUAGAAUGUACUAGAAAAGGGAGCAGCUGGGUAGCUCAGUGGAUUGAGCCAGACCUAGAGAUGGGAGGUCCUAGGUUCAAAUCUGACCUCAGACAUUUCCCAGCUGUGUGACCCUGGGCAAGUCACUUAACCCCCAUUGCCUAGCCUUUAGUGCUCUUCUACACUGGAACUAAUACACAAUGUUGAUUCUAAGACAGAAAAUAAGGGUUAAAAAAAAAAGUGCACCAGAAAUAUUUGUGUGGAGUAACUCUCAUAGAGCAAGACAGAGACACAGAGAAAGAGAAACAGAGGAUAGGGGGCAGGAGUAGGGUGAGAAGGAAAGACUAUCCUCACCCAAUGAAGUCCAUUCUAGCAAUCUCAAGGGAGGCAUGCUGGAAAUCAGGAACAUGGUAGGAGUCAGCUUCCCCUAUAUACCUAUAGUUUGGAACCACAUCCAUCUCCCAGGCAAGUGUGGCGGCUGCUCUUCUCUUUACACAUGAAUUGUGUCAUUUAAUGCUUUGCAUUCUCUUUAGCAAUCCAGAGUCAUGUCUCACAAAUGGCCUAGGCUUUAUUGGACACUGGUUACAUGAUCUGUCAAAAAUAAAAACUAUUGGAGGCAGUGGAUUGAGAGCCAGGUCCAGAGAUGCAAGGUCCUGGGUUCAAGUUUGACCUCAGACACUUGCUAGCUGUGGACUUUGGGCAAGUCAAGUCACUUAACCUCCAUUGCCUAGUUCUCUUGUGUCAUGGAAUCAAUACACAGUAUUAAUUCUAAAAUGGAAGGUAAAGGUUAAAAAAAAAAGGCUUUGGCCUUUCUCAUUCCUCCUCUGUGGGCUUCCCCAUAUUUUUCUCCAACUCUUUUCCUACCUUCAGUUGAAGUCACCAAGUAUGUUGACUUAAUUUGGAGGGUUUUAACAUGUUCUUUUUAUAGAAUUUCUUUGCUUCUUCAUUUGCAGCAACCUAUAUGAGUGGCUAUUGCAAUUUUGUUUCCCUUUUAAAAAAACAACAACUUUAUUUUCUGUCUUAGGAUCAAUUCCAUGUUGGAAUUAAUUCUGCCUAUUGAUUCCAAGGUAGAAGAGUGGUAAGGGCUGGGCAAUUGGAGUUAAGUGACUUACCCAGGGGCACACAACUAGGAAGUAGAUAUCUGAGUCCAGGUCCUCCUAGUUACAGGCCUGGUACCCUACCUAUCAAGUCACUUGAGCUGCCAUUAUUUGGGGGGUGUUCUUUUUUGCAAAUACUUAUCACUAGUAUUGCAACAUGUGAUGUCUAAACACCUCAUAAGAUAAUAUUUCUUUUUGCCUUUGGGCAUAUAAUAAAGUCCACUUCACCAACUUCUUUGUUUUCCUUUCCAAGGAGGGGCUAUGAGCCAUCCUGCCUUUCAGAUGCAAUUUUCUUCUGGUUUCAUUUUUUAGCAAGAAUGUCAAGAUUGCUAUGAUUCAGCUCCUCUAGCAAUAUGUCUAUUUGCUGGUCACUGGAAAAGCAUCACACAUUUAGAGUAUGAAUAAUCAAAUUAAAGUUUAUAGGCAGGCUAAAAAAUAUGUGAUUUUUAGUACUCUCUGCUCCCCUUUCCUACCACUCUGCUCCAUAGAGGUCGGAGAAUCAUUUUGUAUUUUUCAUUUGAUUCAUGGGUUGCCAUGGCCAAAUAAUCCAUCACCAGAUGGUCAGCCUACUAGUAAUGAGCCUCUCUGUACUUAGCUAGGUUGGUCUUUGGAAAACAGAUUUGGUUUGUUGCCAGGGCCAUAUUUAAAUCUUUUUCAGCAAGGUAGACUCUGCCAGAACUUACGUGCUAUUGGCAUACCCUUUGGGAGCCCAGGAUGAUCUCCACACCAAGGCAAGGCAUCAGCGUAGGACUUUAUGAGGGAUAGGGUUCCUUUCAAAACUAAAUCCUAGGAACUUCAUUCCACUGAGUCAAGAUACUUAUCUUCUCUGGGCCCCAGGCUCCUCAUCUGUAAAAUGACAAGAUGGCCUCUGAGGUCUCUUCCAGCUUGAAAUGAUCCUGUGAUCCUAGAUGACUUACUAGUGGCAAUGAAGAUCUUUUUUUUUAAACCCUUAGGUGCAAAUACCAUAGACCCACUUGGACCACUUGGACCCCACUGCCUACCCUCAGGGAAAAUCUGGUCCUGAGCAUAUAUAUCACUUAAGACCCUCAAAGUAGAACAGGAGAUAGGGAGCUUAAGGGGUUUAUUUUUUAUUUGAUUAUUCAUAACAGUUGUUCCCAUGGCAUCUCCACUUCGAAAUUUUGCUCAAAGUCAACAUGUCCAAAACUGAAUUCGUCAUUUUCUUCCUUCCUCUCACCUUACCUCACCUCAAACCAUCUUCCUCUUGACAUCCCUAUUUUUAUUAAUGGUACCUCCAUUCUUGGAGUUCCUCAAGUUCAAAACCUCAGAGUUAUCACUCCCUCUCCCAUACCCUACAUGAACAAGUCCUCUGUAGCUGUUUCCUCCUUCCCAUUCCUCCUAACCACCAUUCAAGUUUUGGCUCCUAUUACCUCUUUUCUGCCCUGUUUUAAAAGUCAUCUAAUUGAUAGUUCUACCUCCAUUUACUCCCCCCAUUCCAAGUCACCCUAUUCCCAUACUGUAAGAGAAAUCCUCUAUGUUUCUCUUACAGGAUUGUAGAUUUUAAAGCUGAAAGAAAUAUUAGAGGUCAUUUAGUCAAAUUCCCCUAUUUUGUUUUCUUGUUCAGUUUCAGUCAUGUCUGACUCUAAAUGAUCCCAUUUGCAGUUUUCUUGGCAAAAAUAUUAGAGUGGUUUACCAUUUCCUCUUCUAGCUCAUUUUAUAGAUGAGGAACGGAGGCAAAUGGCAUUAAGUGACUUGCCCAGGUUCACAUAGCUGCUAAAUGUCUAAAGCCAGAUUUGAACUCAAGAAGAUGAGUCUUCCUGACUCCAGGCCUGGCACUCUAUUCACUGUACCACCUAGCUGCCCUGCCCCACCUUGUUUUAUAAAUGUGAAAACGGAGGAAAAUGUUUUGAAGUCAAAGAGUAAGUAGUAAUCUAAAAUUUAAGCAUAGAUCUUCUGAUCCCAAAUUCAGGGCUCUGAGAAGUAUCAGUUAGGCAGCUUGUUGAAGCCCUUAAGAAAUGCCUGCUGUGUACCAGGCACUGUGCUAGACUAUGGAGAUGAAAAUGCAGAAGUCUCUGCCUCUAUACAGUGGUAAGAGCAUUAACUUGAGUCAGAGUACCUGAGUUCAAAUUCUACCUAUCAGUUAACUCCUGGGAAUCUAGGUUUCCUCAUCUAUAAAAAGAGGGAGCUGGAGAGGAUACCUCUGAAGUUCCAACUCUCUCUCAACACACACACACACACACACACACACACACACACACACACACACACACACACAAGUGUAUUAAUUUCUCCACCAAAAAAAUAUAUAGUGAUGGAGAGGAAUCGCUUAUUAUAUUGUGCCUCUUCCUAAUGUAUCCUCUGAGAUUAUUACUCUGAUCAAAAAUAUCCAAUGACUCCCUGUUACAUACCAAAUAAAGUUCCGAAUGCUUAAUUUACUACAUUUGAGGCUCACCCCAACAAUUCAACCCUACCUUUCUAACUACAGAAAGCACUCCUAUCCACUAAGCUGUACUCUGGAUAAAACCAUAUUCCUCUAUGAACACCUCAUGAGAUUCUGCUGUUUUACAGUCUUUGCUCAGUCUUCACUGUAUGAUAAAUGCUUUUGUGUGUCAAAGAUGGUCCGUAGAGUGCUCUCUGUUGGGCAUGCAUGCCACCUUACCCCCCCCCCUCCAUCCCCCCUGGAGUUUGUUACUAGAAAGACAGAGGGACUUGGGGAGCUGCUCCCCUCCCCCUCUCCAUUGUGUCUGAUUCACAUCCCCCACCCCCUCUGCCCAGCAGCCCAGUGGGAGUGCACAGGGGAUAAGAUGGGUGGCUCACAGGUGGCAGAAGUGGAGGAGAGCAGAACACUCUGGCCACUCCCAUCCCCCUCUCUACGCUUGCUGAGGACAUUCCUCACUUCACCUGCCCCACUGCCCAGCAGCCCAAUGGGAGUGCUUCCUCCCUCCCCUGUAUGAGGUAAGUGGGGCGGGGCAUGCUCAGAACUUGGUAGUGGGGGUGGGCAUGGUAUAUGGUCUCUGAAAGGUUCACCAUCAUUGUCCUAGGAUUCUGCCUGCUGGAUUCCUAUUUGACUUUCAAGGCCCAGCUCCAAUACCACCUCCUUUACAAAGGCUUGCCCCAUCCACCCACUCAGGAGCAAUGUCUCCCUUCUCUGAAAUCCUGUAGCAUUCUGUAUUUAUCUUUUUUAUGGCCUUAUCAAAUUCUGCCUUGCUUUAACCCCUAAAUUCAUAAUGGCCAGGAUUCUAAAGAAAAAAAAUGAAGGAAAAGAAUGUUUUAAAAUAUCUACAAUAAUCUAUUUUUAAUUCAACCAGGAAAAUGGAAAAAAUCUUGGUGCUUUUUAAAACUAAGUGUAAUGCUUUUCCGCAAUAUUGUAUUGAACAUCACAUCAAAUUAGACCUUUAAAGCCCAACUCAUUAUAACAUCCCUAAACUCCAACAGACUAUUGAUUCUUGCCUACUCACAGAAAAGUUGUAUCAGUGAGACAAACUUCUAUCAGUGUGGAGAGGAAGAAGGAAGAAGAGAAAGGAAAGGGAGAAGAAGAGAGAGGGGAGAGUACUAACUGAAUGACCCUGGUCAACUCACCUAACCUCAUCUGUAAACCGAAGCGUUGGUCCCUUCUAAUCCUAUAACCCUAUGAAAAGGAGUGUCGGAACUUACUGAGACCCAUAUCUCAUCCCUCUUGAAGCUAGUUUUUGCCUAGGGUUAAAACAGGUUAAAUGACAACUUUCCAUCAGUCUGUAGUGGAAACCAAUGGACAUAAAAGCCUCACUCUGAUACCCACCAUUGAUAGACAUUAGUUUAUGGAUGUCUUAUCUUCUCUUCCAAACUAUAAACUCUUUGAUGGCAGGAACCAAGUCCUGCCUCCUUCAGCAUCUCCUGCAUUGUCCUUCACAUAAUCAGGGCACUUUGUAAAUGGUUAAAUUUGCUCAUGAGACCCAGUACUGCACACAUACUUAUUCUGCUCUGCCUGGUGCUGUCCCAUGGAUUUGCUUGGGGGUCCCUUCUUCUGGGCACCGGUAACGGAGAAUCCUGCCCCCUACUUCAUUACAGGGGCAAGAAGUAUUUUGUGACUGUUUCCUGUCUGCAUACUAUACAGUGAAGAAAAGCCUUUUAAGGGUCUGGAGUCAGAAGGACUGGUUUCCAAUAUGGCCUCAGACACGUCCUAGCUGUGUGACCCUGGGCAAGUCACUUCACCUCCAUUGCCUAGCCCUUACUCCUCUUCUGCUUUGGAAUCGAUCCAUAGCAUUGCUUCUAAGAUGAAAGGUACAAGACAAGGGAAAAUGUAUUGGCUGGAGGUGUUUGCCAUUACCAUGGUGGAUAUCCUGUACAGAUUCCUAAAGGAAGGGAUCCUAUAGAUGGGGAUGUUCUUCAGAAGCUCCCAUUUGCAGAUAAAUCUGUGCUGAUUGCAUCAAGCCCUUGGAACACUGCAGAGGCUCUGAAAUGAAAUUCAUGGUGACUCAGAAAAGAUCAGCCAAAGAAUCUGCACAUGAAAACUGAAGAAAUGAAGCAUGCUUAUUGCCUGGUCCAUGAUAUGCCGUUGGAUGGUCCACCCAUUGAACUGGUCCAUAAAUACUUCUAUCUUGAAAAGAUAAUGCAAAUGAACAAUUGGCUACAUACAGAGAUAACCAAUAGGAAGAGAGAAGAUAGUUUUACAUUUGGUGAAACAAAUGGGCAUUUCUCUCUAAGAGGAAAAAAAAGUUAUUUUUUUUAACAUCAGUAAUCUUCCAAGGAUGCUCUAUGACUACAAAUCAUGAACCAUUAGGAAAGAUACAGUUGUAACCAUUUGGUUAUCUGCCUGCCCUAACAACUCACCAGGCUGGAUGGGAACCAAGAAUAGUUAGAGUUCCACAAUGGAUCCUGGGACUAUCGCCUUCUCCGAACACUGGACUUUUAGCCACAAAAACACGGAUUCUCAGAGCCCUGAGAAAGAGAUCUUCGAAUCUGACCAGUAUCUGAAGAAGGAGCCCCCUUCCCUUCACACACACCCCAUCUCAUUUUAACAACGUACCGGAACAGGAAUCCUGCCUGCCUUUGCUUGUUCCUAUCCAGGAACAGGGAAUCCAUCACUUGGAGAAGCAGCCCAUACCAUUUUUGGAAAGGUUAGAAUCUGAAGUUGCCUCUUACCAGAUUCCAGGCAGUUCCUAGUCCUGCCCUCUGCAGUCGAGCAGAAUGAGUCUAACAAAGCCCUUAAACAUUGCUGACCUGCCCCCCCCCCAUCUUUUUUUCAAGUUAAGCAUCCCCUGGCCCUUCAAACAAUCUCCAUGCAGCAUUUUAUCCGGCAACUUCACUGCUUUGAAGACUGUAUCCAUCCCUGCAAAGGCUCCAGAUUCUACCCCUUUAAAGGGUCCAGAUACAAAGAUUUGCUUUAGUACACAUGUAAAGUAAAGUACACAUGCCUCAAACAGGACCUUUCCCCGAUUUGGCUCAUGGGUUCAUGGAAUAAUAGAAAAACCUUCUGUUUGGCUUUUAAAACUCCCUUUAACGUGGCCCCUUUCCUACUUUUCUAAUCUUCUUAUGCCUUACAACCCCGCCCCAACCCCAAUAAUACUCUUAGAUCCAGUGACACUGGUGGCCUCCUUGCUGUUCCUUGCACAAGACACUCUGACUUAUCCUGUAUUUUACUUGUUUGUUCAUAGGUACUCCCCCAUUAGGCCGUGAGCUCCUAAAAAAAUAGCUUUCUCAAAAUCACAUCUCUAUAUAGUAACAAUUUUGAAUUUUCUUAUGAGCUCUUCAUAUUCCAUUUUCUAUUAUAAUUAUUUGUGCACAUGUAUGGUGGCACAAGCAACAUCUUAUUUAUUUUUCUAUUGUUCAUCCACCAUACAAACCUUUUGUAUUGAACUCUCUACUUGGGCCAUACUUAAUAGUGUUUUGCCACAUUAAAUGGAAUUAUAAUAUACUGUCCAAAAAAAAAAUAAAUUGUUUGCUUUUCUUUGCAUCCCAAAUUCUGGGCAUAGUGUUUGGGGAUUGGUGUAAGGGAGACACGAGUCUUGAUGACUUAAUAGAUUUUGAGCUUAAUGGAACUGAAAGGUGAUAUAGUUCAUCCUCCCCAUUUCACAAAGGAAGAAAUGGAAGCCCAGAAAGUGACUUGUCCAAGGUCACAUAGGUAGUAAGCAAAAGAGGCCAAAUUCAAACCCAGGUCCUCAGACUCCCUCUUUCUACUCUACCACAUUGUUGAAGGCCUCAAACGGGGCCAACAAAAUGUCUUUCCAGCUGCCCACAUUGUCAUCCUUCAGUCUACCAGACUUAAUCACAAUAGUAGGACAGGAGUCAGACUCCUCCUCUUCAUCACUUUACUGUCAGGUACUCCUUUCCCUGUGGCCAGGUUGUCACUCACCAGGGCUCUGUCAUAAUCCCCAAAUCAGUUCAUCGGGCCAGGCCUUGGACCAUCAGCAGGGAAGAUUUGCUUUCUCUGGUUCUUGGGGGAGGAAAAAUGUUUCAGAGAAAUAUGACAGAGUUGGGUGGGGAGGGGAUUAAAAUACUCAUAUUAAGAGAGCUUGAGAGGGGGAGAACUGUCAAUCAGUCUCUUGCACCAGUUUCCUCUGUUCAGAAAAAGAAAGAAAAAAACUAGAUCAGCAGAAGCCAGAGGCUACAUUUAAAAACAGUACUGCUGAGCUUGGUAGUAGAAGCAACUCAUCUUCCUAAGGCCUUUGGAACCCAUAAUAGAAUCCAGGAACCUAUUAAGAGCAUUCUGGGAACUCUGCAGAAGGACCCAGUUUGGUAGGAUGGCAAUUACUGGAUUUAGGUUCUGAAGAACUAUUUGAAUCUUGGCUCUGCUUCUUUGGAUCUUUGUAACUUUAGACAAAUCUCUUAACCUUUCUAAACUUUUAAUUCUUCAUCUGUAAAGUGGGGAUCAUAAUAAUUGAUCCACCUUACUAUACGGUUGUGAGAAUCAAGUGAAAUAUGGAAAGUAUUUGGUAGAGAGAUGGGUAAGCUUUUAAACUAUUGAUGUAGGCGGUGAUGGAGAGAAGGAAAAGAUUAAUAUCUCAUUACCAGAUAUCUGUACCACAGAGACCAAAGCAAGAAAGACCCCAAAACACCAGAACACCAAAACAGACAGAAUCCUUUUAGAAGUAGCUGGAAUGGCUCCCCAUCUGCCUGUCGGUGGGGGAAUAGCUAAAUAAAUUGUGGUAUAUGAAUGUCACAAUAUUAUGGUGAAGUUUGAAAUGAUAAAUGUGUGGAACUGAGAGGAACAUGGGAACGCUUGUAUGAACUGAUGCAGAUGGGAGUAAGCAGAACCAGGAGAACAAUAUGUACAAUGACUGGUUGGUCAGUCAUUCAGUUGUGUCCAGCUCUUCAGGAUUGACUUUUGCCCAUAAGGUUUUCUUGGCAAAGAUACUAGAGUGGUUUGCCAUUUCCUUCUCCAAUGUAUCCCCAUUUUACGGAGGAGGAACUGAGGCAAAUAGAGAUUCAGAGACUUGUCCAGGGUCACACAGCUAGUAAGUGUCUUGUGCUUAGACCUUCUUGAUUUCAGGCCUGGUGCACUGUACCUCCUGGAUGUCCCCACAUACAAUGAUUACCAGGAUUCAAAUGAAACAGGAUGGAAGAAACCCCACAAAACAACACACUAGGAGAACACCACACUCUGAAGAGUUGUAAUGACCAGUCUUGGUCCUGAAGAAUCAAACAUGCAACCCUUUCUCUUGAAAGAGAGGUGGCCAGGGGGCAGCUGGGAGGCUAAGUGGAUUGAGAGCCAAGCCUGGAGAUGGGAGGUCCUGGGCUCAAAUAUGGUCUUAGACACUUUCCAGCUGUGUGACCCUGGGCAAGUCAUUUAACCCAUGUUGCCUAGCCCUUAAUGCCCUUCUGUUUUGAAACCAAUACCCAGUAUUGAUUCUAAGACAGAAGGUAAGGGUUUUCAAGGAAAAAAAGAAAAAAAAAGAAAAAGGUGUGCAGGGAUAUAGGUACAGAAUGUAUACGCAUUGUCAGAUGAGGCUACAGUAUUGGAGGGUUUUGUCUCACAACUUAUUGUUGGGGCAGUUAGAUGGUAGUUAGGAGGACCUAGGUUCAAAUUCAACCUCAGAAGUUUACUAGGUACAUGAUCAUGGGCAAGUCAUUAACUCUCUGUCUGCCUCAGACUCCUCAACAGAAAAGAGGGAUAAUAAUAGCACCUGUCUCCCAGGGUUGUUGUGAGGAUCAAAUGGGUCAGCACAGUGAAUGUUUA
This is a non-coding RNA of Monodelphis domestica (gray short-tailed opossum), 16346 nucleotides long. Lineage: Eukaryota; Metazoa; Chordata; Mammalia; Didelphimorphia; Didelphidae. The record is from RefSeq and is a predicted model, not a curated record.